RNAcentral lists this non-coding RNA (23 nucleotides) under Arabidopsis thaliana (thale cress). Lineage: Eukaryota; Viridiplantae; Streptophyta; Magnoliopsida; Brassicales; Brassicaceae. The record is from RNAcentral.
CGGGAGAGAUGUUAGUGAUGAUA